AACGAACGCUGGCGGCAUGCCUAACACAUGCAAGUCGAACGAGACCUUCGGGUCUAGUGGCGCACGGGUGCGUAACGCGUGGGAACCUGCCUUUAGGUUCGGAAUAACUCAGAGAAAUUUGAGCUAAUACCGGAUAAUGUCUUCGGACCAAAGAUUUAUCGCCUUUAGAUGGGCCCGCGUAAGAUUAGCUAGUUGGUGGGGUAAAGGCCUACCAAGGCGACGAUCUUUAGCUGGUCUGAGAGGAUGAUCAGCCACACUGGGACUGAGACACGGCCCAGACUCCUACGGGAGGCAGCAGUGGGGAAUAUUGGACAAUGGGCGAAAGCCUGAUCCAGCAAUGCCGCGUGAGUGAUGAAGGCCUUAGGGUUGUAAAGCUCUUUUACCCGAGAUGAUAAUGACAGUAUCGGAGAAUAAGCUCCGGCUAACUCCGUGCCAGCAGCCGCGGUAAU
This 449-nucleotide ribosomal RNA is filed under the name uncultured bacterium. Its description in RNAcentral is "bacterial SSU rRNA". It matches the Rfam family "Bacterial small subunit ribosomal RNA", at positions 29 to 524 of the family's 1533-position model. The record is from RNAcentral.